Molecule: long non-coding RNA, 314 nt
Organism: Nelumbo nucifera (sacred lotus)
Lineage: Eukaryota; Viridiplantae; Streptophyta; Magnoliopsida; Proteales; Nelumbonaceae
Source: RefSeq, a predicted model, not a curated record
AGAGAGAGGAGGAGGAGGAGGAGAGACAGAGAGCGCUUAAAAUCGUGAACGGCAGCAGUAGAGAGCGGGAGAAUUACAGGGAUGUCUUUGUCUAAUUCCAAUCAAUUCUUUGUCAUUAUACGCCUUCCUUGUUCUCUCCCUAAACCCCAAUAUCGAGGAGAUUCAACAAGGUUCCAUCUUAAGCUUCAACAAGAUUUUGCUACGGCGUGUGUUGGUAGAAAGUUCAAUUCGAAGAAGGCUUACCAACUCAUAUGACUUGUUAUUUUGUAUUCUCCGUGUUUAUGUUUGAUACUAAUGGUAAAAGGGUAAAGUUA